Molecule: ribosomal RNA, 102 nt
Filed under: Paramormyrops kingsleyae
Lineage: Eukaryota; Metazoa; Chordata; Actinopteri; Osteoglossiformes; Mormyridae
Source: RNAcentral
ACCUGCAGUUCCUGUUAGAUGAUGCACCUGAAGCUGAGCAGCUUUGGGCCUGACCAGUACUUGGAUGGGAGACCAACUAGGAAAGCUGGGUUGCUGCUGGAA